This 195-nucleotide small nucleolar RNA is filed under the name Lodderomyces elongisporus NRRL YB-4239. RNAcentral describes it as "Small nucleolar RNA snR35". It matches the Rfam family "Small nucleolar RNA snR35". Lineage: Eukaryota; Fungi; Ascomycota; Pichiomycetes; Serinales; Debaryomycetaceae. The record is from Rfam by way of RNAcentral.
UUCUUUUCUUCUUCGUGCGGCAGCCAAAGCUUUAACCGUGUUGCUUGUCUGUUCUUUUAUAUCCCAACGAGUUGGCGAGCGUCAAGCUUCUGGCGAGAAUAAUGUUCUGUCACAAGAACGAUCAUCUUAAUGCCCUUUCAUUUUAAUCCAUUACUUUGAAAAGGAGUUUAGUGAGGGCUGGUAGAUCAUACAUUU